CAGCAGCCGCGGGAAUACGGAGGGGGCUAGCGUUGUUCGGAAUUACUGGGCGUAAAGCGCACGUAGGCUGCUUUGUAAGUUAGAGGUGAAAGCCUGGUGCUCAACACCAGAACUGCCUUUAAGGCUGCAGAGCUAGAACGUCGGAGAGGUGAGUGGAAUUCCGAGUGUAGAGGUGAAAUUCGUAGAUAUUCGGAAGAACACCAGUGGCGAAGGCGGCUCACUGGACGACUGUUGACGCUGAGGUGCGAAAGCGUGGGGAGCAAACAGGAUUAGAUACCCCGGUAGUCCCUGUCUCUUAUAC
RNAcentral lists this ribosomal RNA (301 nucleotides) under uncultured bacterium. RNAcentral's name for it is "partial 16S ribosomal RNA". It matches the Rfam family "Bacterial small subunit ribosomal RNA", at positions 509 to 807 of the family's 1533-position model. The record is from RNAcentral.